CAAAACACUAAAACAUUAGGAUCUUUGUUCCUGAAAGACUUAAAACUUCAAAAUGGAACCUUUUGAAAGUCCUGAGAACGAUCAUUUUUCUAAAAAAUACGUAGAAGAAUUUUGAAAACUAAGAAAUUCAGGGACAGGAUUGUGGGAUACCAGAUCAUUUUCAGAAAGGCAUUAUCUUUGAAGCUCAAAAUUAUCACUCGAUGAAACCAUACACAAUCUUUUGAAAAUAAAAAUGAAACCUUCAAAUGUCCUGAAACAUAUCACUUUUCAGAGAAAUAAGAAGAACUUUAGGAAAAAAAAUACAGGGACAAGAUUCCGUUUGUAUCUGGGGACGGAUGAAGCAAAUGCCAAACAAAUUUGUCCAAUAGUAAGUGUACGAAUGUUGAAUUUAAUGAAAUAGCUAUUAACACUUAUAAAAAUCAUGGCCUGGAAACAUUGCAAGUUCAAAAGAAACCCAACUUUCUGAUGACAAUCAUUACAGGAACUGGAUUGUGAAAAAUCAGCUAGCUUUCAGAAUGAAAUUUUAUUCCAGGCUCAAAAUUGGAACUUGAAGAGACCAUAUACAAUCUACAAUAUCACAUUGCAUGUUGCACCUCGGUUCAGUGUUUAUGCAUCAGUAGAGCAACUUUUCAAUUUCAGUAAAAGAACUAAUACAGGACUAAUUAUUUGCUUGCGCAGAAGAUUGAAUCUUUGUUCCUAAAAGCAUUAGGAUCUUUGUUAAGCAUUAAAACAUAAAAAUGAAGCCUUUUGAAAGUCCCGAGAAUGAUCAUUUUUCUAAAAAAUAAGGAAAAGAAUUUUGAAAACAAAGAAAUACAGGAACUGGAUUGUGGGA
RNAcentral lists this unclassified non-coding RNA (832 nucleotides) under Hevea brasiliensis (rubber tree). The record is from RNAcentral. Lineage: Eukaryota; Viridiplantae; Streptophyta; Magnoliopsida; Malpighiales; Euphorbiaceae.